UGGGGAAUAUUGGACAAUGGAGGCAACUCUGAUCCAGCAAUGCCGCGUGUGUGAUGAAGGCCCUAGGGUUGUAAAGCACUUUCAACGGUGAAGAUGAUGACGGUAGCCGUAGAAGAAGCCCCGGCUAACUUCGUGCCAGCAGCCGCGGUAAUACGAAGGGGGCGAGCGUUAUUCGGAAUUAUUGGGCGUAAAGGGCUCGCAGGCUGCUUGAACAGUUAGACGUGAAAUCCCCGGGCUCAACCUGGGAACUGCGUUUAAUACUAGCAAGCUAGAGAAAUAGAGAGGAAAGUGGAACUCCCAGUGUAGGUGAAAUUCGUAGAUAUUGGGAAGAACACCAGUGGCGAAAGCGACUUUCUGGCUAUUUUCUGACGCUGAGGAGCGAAAGCGUGGGGAGCAAACAGGAUUAGAUACCCUGGUAGUCCACGCCGUAAACGAUGUGUGCUAGAUGUUGGAAGGUUACCUUUCAGUGUCGCAGCUAACGCACUAAGCACACCGCCUGGGAAGUACGGUCGCAAGAUUA
This 520-nucleotide ribosomal RNA is filed under the name uncultured marine bacterium. RNAcentral's name for it is "bacterial SSU rRNA". It matches the Rfam family "Bacterial small subunit ribosomal RNA", at positions 355 to 896 of the family's 1533-position model. The record is from RNAcentral.